CCUACGGGUGGCAGCAGUGGGGAAUAUUGCACAAUGGGGGAAACCCUGAUGCAGCGACGCCGCGUGAGCGAUGAAGUAUUUCGGUAUGUAAAACUCUAUUAGCAGGGAAGAAAAUGACGGUACCUGACUAAGAAGCCCAGGCUAACGACGUGCCAGCAGCCGCGGUAAUACGUAGGGGGCAGGCGUUAUCCGGAUUUACUGGGUGUAAAGGGAGCGUAGGCGGUCCUGCAAGCCAGAUGUGAAAGCCCGGGGCUCAACCCCGGGACUGCAUUUGAAACUGUAAGGCUAGAGUGUCGGAGGGGCAGGCGGAAUUCCUGGUGUAGCGGUGAAAUGCGUAGAUAUUAGAGAGAACACCGGUGGCGAAGGCGGCCUGCUGGACGAUUACUGACGUUGAGGCUCGAAAGCGUGGGGAGCAAACAGGAUUAGAUACCCUGGUAGUC
RNAcentral lists this ribosomal RNA (440 nucleotides) under uncultured bacterium. Its description in RNAcentral is "partial 16S ribosomal RNA". It matches the Rfam family "Bacterial small subunit ribosomal RNA", at positions 338 to 795 of the family's 1533-position model. The record is from RNAcentral.